CUUAUGCAAACUGCCACGUUGUCUUUUCACCUCGUGUGUGUUGGACAGGGCGAGUGUAGUAAUCAUUAAAAAAAGCUCAAACACUUCGCGAUGGGAAGGCAUUGUGAUCUUUUUUUCUGAAUUCGAUUGGCCAGGAACAGAGACGUUAAGGCUCCACGGACAAUUAUUCAACAAGGGGCAGCUACCAGAACUUGUAGAUGUUUUUCACGGCAGUUUAUCGGGUGAACAGAAAGGCUGUCAAGCCCACCAUUGCCGAGGUCCAGUCAGCUUUUAUUAACUUCAUGCCUCACACCGCAACAAUGUAAAGAGUGAUGUCACCUUUGAAUGCAUGAGAAUACCACUCCUCAUCAUCUCCGUAGGCCUGCUGUCCUG
Long non-coding RNA from Hippocampus zosterae (dwarf seahorse), 372 nucleotides. RefSeq lists it as uncharacterized. Lineage: Eukaryota; Metazoa; Chordata; Actinopteri; Syngnathiformes; Syngnathidae. The record is from RefSeq and is a predicted model, not a curated record. The transcript is spliced from 4 exons.